This 2900-nucleotide ribosomal RNA is filed under the name Klebsiella pneumoniae BIDMC 52. Its description in RNAcentral is "bacterial LSU rRNA". It matches the Rfam family "Bacterial large subunit ribosomal RNA". The record is from RNAcentral. Lineage: Bacteria; Pseudomonadati; Pseudomonadota; Gammaproteobacteria; Enterobacterales; Enterobacteriaceae.
UUAAGCGACUAAGCGUACACGGUGGAUGCCCUGGCAGUCAGAGGCGAUGAAGGACGUGCUAAUCUGCGAAAAGCGUCGGUAAGGUGAUAUGAACCGUUAUAGCCGGCGAUGUCCGAAUGGGGAAACCCAGUGUGAUUCGUCACACUAUCGUUAACUGAAUACAUAGGUUAACGAGGCGAACCGGGGGAACUGAAACAUCUAAGUACCCCGAGGAAAAGAAAUCAACCGAGAUUCCCCCAGUAGCGGCGAGCGAACGGGGAGCAGCCCAGAGUCUGAAUCAGCUUGUGUGUUAGUGGAACGGUCUGGAAAGUCCGACGGUACAGGGUGAUAGUCCCGUACACCAAAAUGCACAGGUUGUGAACUCGAAGAGUAGGGCGGGACACGUGGUAUCCUGUCUGAAUAUGGGGGGACCAUCCUCCAAGGCUAAAUACUCCUGACUGACCGAUAGUGAACCAGUACCGUGAGGGAAAGGCGAAAAGAACCCCGGCGAGGGGAGUGAAAAAGAACCUGAAACCGUGUACGUACAAGCAGUGGGAGCACCUUCGGGUGUGACUGCGUACCUUUUGUAUAAUGGGUCAGCGACUUAUAUUCUGUAGCAAGGUUAACCGUAUAGGGGAGCCGCAGGGAAACCGAGUCUUAACUGGGCGUUAAGUUGCAGGGUAUAGACCCGAAACCCGGUGAUCUAGCCAUGGGCAGGUUGAAGGUUGGGUAACACUAACUGGAGGACCGAACCGACUAAUGUUGAAAAAUUAGCGGAUGACUUGUGGCUGGGGGUGAAAGGCCAAUCAAACUGGGAGAUAGCUGGUUCUCCCCGAAAGCUAUUUAGGUAGCGCCUCGUGAAUUCAUCUUCGGGGGUAGAGCACUGUUUCGGCUAGGGGGUCAUCCCGACUUACCAACCCGAUGCAAACUACGAAUACCGAAGAAUGUUAUCACGGGAGACACACGGCGGGUGCUAACGUCCGUCGUGAAGAGGGAAACAACCCAGACCGCCAGCUAAGGUCCCAAAGUCAUGGUUAAGUGGGAAACGAUGUGGGAAGGCACAGACAGCCAGGAUGUUGGCUUAGAAGCAGCCAUCAUUUAAAGAAAGCGUAAUAGCUCACUGGUCGAGUCGGCCUGCGCGGAAGAUGUAACGGGGCUAAACCAUGCACCGAAGCUGCGGCAGCGACACUAUGUGUUGUUGGGUAGGGGAGCGUUCUGUAAGCCUGCGAAGGUGUGCUGUGAGGCAUGCUGGAGGUAUCAGAAGUGCGAAUGCUGACAUAAGUAACGAUAAAGCGGGUGAAAAGCCCGCUCGCCGGAAGACCAAGGGUUCCUGUCCAACGUUAAUCGAGGCAGGGUGAGUCGACCCCUAAGGCGAGGCCGAAAGGCGUAGUCGAUGGGAAACAGGUUAAUAUUCCUGUACUUGGUGUUACUGCGAAGGGGGGACGGAGAAGGCUAUGUUAGCCGGGCGACGGUUGUCCCGGUUUAAGCAUGUAGGCUGGUUGUCCAGGCAAAUCCGGAUAAUCAAGGCUGAGGUGUGAUGACGAGGCACUACGGUGCUGAAGUAACAAAUGCCCUGCUUCCAGGAAAAGCCUCUAAGCAUCAGGUAACAUCAAAUCGUACCCCAAACCGACACAGGUGGUCAGGUAGAGAAUACCAAGGCGCUUGAGAGAACUCGGGUGAAGGAACUAGGCAAAAUGGUGCCGUAACUUCGGGAGAAGGCACGCUGGUGUGUAGGUGAAGUCCCUGCGGAUGGAGCUGAGACCAGUCGAAGAUACCAGCUGGCUGCAACUGUUUAUUAAAAACACAGCACUGUGCAAACACGAAAGUGGACGUAUACGGUGUGACGCCUGCCCGGUGCCGGAAGGUUAAUUGAUGGGGUUAUCCGUAAGGAGAAGCUCUUGAUCGAAGCCCCGGUAAACGGCGGCCGUAACUAUAACGGUCCUAAGGUAGCGAAAUUCCUUGUCGGGUAAGUUCCGACCUGCACGAAUGGCGUAAUGAUGGCCAGGCUGUCUCCACCCGAGACUCAGUGAAAUUGAACUCGCUGUGAAGAUGCAGUGUACCCGCGGCAAGACGGAAAGACCCCGUGAACCUUUACUAUAGCUUGACACUGAACAUUGAGCCUUGAUGUGUAGGAUAGGUGGGAGGCUUUGAAGCGUGGACGCCAGUCUGCGUGGAGCCAACCUUGAAAUACCACCCUUUAAUGUUUGAUGUUCUAACGUUGGCCCCUUACCGGGGUUGCGGACAGUGUCUGGUGGGUAGUUUGACUGGGGCGGUCUCCUCCCAAAGCGUAACGGAGGAGCACGAAGGUUAGCUAAUCCUGGUCGGACAUCAGGAGGUUAGUGCAAUGGCAUAAGCUAGCUUGACUGCGAGCGUGACGGCGCGAGCAGGUGCGAAAGCAGGUCAUAGUGAUCCGGUGGUUCUGAAUGGAAGGGCCAUCGCUCAACGGAUAAAAGGUACUCCGGGGAUAACAGGCUGAUACCGCCCAAGAGUUCAUAUCGACGGCGGUGUUUGGCACCUCGAUGUCGGCUCAUCACAUCCUGGGGCUGAAGUAGGUCCCAAGGGUAUGGCUGUUCGCCAUUUAAAGUGGUACGCGAGCUGGGUUUAGAACGUCGUGAGACAGUUCGGUCCCUAUCUGCCGUGGGCGCUGGAGAAUUGAGGGGGGCUGCUCCUAGUACGAGAGGACCGGAGUGGACGCAUCACUGGUGUUCGGGUUGUCAUGCCAAUGGCACUGCCCGGUAGCUAAAUGCGGAAGAGAUAAGUGCUGAAAGCAUCUAAGCACGAAACUUGCCCCGAGAUGAGUUCUCCCUGAGACUUUAAGUCUCCUGAAGGAACGUUGAAGACGACGACGUUGAUAGGCCGGGUGUGUAAGCGCAGCGAUGCGUUGAGCUAACCGGUACUAAUGAACCGUGAGGCUUAACCUU